RNAcentral lists this transfer RNA (74 nucleotides) under Sphaerodactylus townsendi. Its description in RNAcentral is "tRNA-Ala". The record is from RNAcentral. Lineage: Eukaryota; Metazoa; Chordata; Lepidosauria; Squamata; Sphaerodactylidae.
GGGGGUCCUUGGCUCGGUGGCAGAGCCUCGGCUUGGCAUGCGGAAGUUCCCUGGUUCAAUCCCCGGCAUCUCCA